UAUAAUGGUUGUUGUUUGAACUAUUAGGUCUAUGUGGUCUACUGUCUGUGUGAACUUCAUGUAAUGUCACCAGUUUGUGUGAACUACUGUCUAUCUGAACUAUGUUGGUUGCUAUCUAUGAACCAUGUUGGUCUAUGAACAUAUCUAAUCUAGACAUAAUAUCACAUUGCCAUGAAAAAAUUCAGCACAAAUUCAACCUAAUUGGAUUCAAAUUGUCAACAACACAAUUGAAUUACAACCAAGUUCAGCGCAGAUUCACUACUCUGCAAGGUACAAGAACUGCAAAUCACAACUCAUUCACUUCCACAUUGCUCUCACUAACAUGC
RNAcentral lists this long non-coding RNA (326 nucleotides) under Setaria viridis. RNAcentral's name for it is "long non-coding RNA (SVIR_LNC006477)". Lineage: Eukaryota; Viridiplantae; Streptophyta; Magnoliopsida; Poales; Poaceae. The record is from RNAcentral.